GUGCCAGCAGCCGCGGUAAUUCCAGCUCCAAUAGCGUAUAUUAAAGUUGUUGUGGUUAAAAAGCUCGUAGUUGAACCUUGGGCCUGGCUGGCCGGUCCGCCUCACCGCGUGCACUGGUCCGGCCGGGCCUUUCCCUCUGUGGAACCCCAUACCCUUCACUGGGCGUGGCGGGGAAACAGGACAUUUACUUUGAAAAAAUUAGAGUGCUCCAGGCAGGCCUAUGCUCGAAUACAUUAGCAUGGAAUAAUAAAAUAGGACGCGCGGUUCUAUUUUGUUGGUUUAUAGGACCGCCGUAAUGAUUAAUAGGGACAGUCGGGGGCAUCAGUAUUCAACUGUCAGAGGUGAAAUUCUUGGAUCAGUUGAAGACUAACUACUGCGAAAGCAUUUGCCAAGGAUGUUUUCAUUAAUCAGGAACGAAAGUUAGGGGAUCGAAGACGAUCAGAUACCGUCGUAGUCUUAACCAUAAACUAUGCCGACUAGGGAUCGGACGGUGUUAUUCAUGACCCGUUCGGCACCUUACGAGAAAUCAAAGUGCUGGGCUCCAGGGGGAGUAUGGUCGCAAGGCUGAAACUUAAAGAAAUUGACGGAAGGGCACCACCAGGGGUGGAGCCUGCGGCUUAAUUUGACUCAACACGGGGAAACUCACCAGGUCCAGACACAAUAAGGAUUGACAGAUUGAGAGCUCUUUCUUGAUUUUGUGGUGGUGGUGCAUGGCCGUUCUUAGUUGGUGGGGUGACUUGUCUGCUUAAUUGCGAUAACGAACGAGACCUUAACCUGCUAAAUAGCCCGCAUUGCUCCGGCAGUGCGCUGGCUUCUUAGAGGGACUUUCGGCUCAAGCCGAAGGAAGUUUGAGGCAAUAACAGGGUCUGUGAUGG
Molecule: ribosomal RNA, 875 nt
Filed under: uncultured fungus
Lineage: Eukaryota; Fungi
Description: SSU rRNA
Rfam family: Eukaryotic small subunit ribosomal RNA
Source: RNAcentral